RNAcentral lists this RNase P RNA (353 nucleotides) under Candidatus Poribacteria bacterium. RNAcentral's name for it is "RNase P RNA component class A". It matches the Rfam family "Bacterial RNase P class A". From Rfam's summary of the family: Ribonuclease P (RNase P) is a ubiquitous endoribonuclease, found in archaea, bacteria and eukarya as well as chloroplasts and mitochondria. Its best characterised activity is the generation of mature 5'-ends of tRNAs by cleaving the 5'-leader elements of precursor-tRNAs. The record is from RNAcentral. Lineage: Bacteria; Candidatus Poribacteria.
UGAGUUGAGUAGAUGAUCGCGUCCCGAAUGUAGCUUACAAUCGGGAUGAGGAAAGUCCGGACUCCGCAGGGCAGGAUGCUGGGUAACCCCCAGGAGCGGCAACGCUAUGGAAAGUGCAACAGAGAGUAGACUACAACGCCUCAAAGCGUUGUACAGGUGAAACGGUGCGGUAAAAGCGCACCAGUCCAUAAGGUGACUUAUGGAGCUUGGUAAACCCCAUCUGGAGCAAGGUAAAUGGCGGAAUAUAAGGUGUGCUCGCCUUUUCCCCAGGUAACCGCUUGAGGUGGAUGGUAACAUCCAUCCCAGAUGAAUGAUCAUCGCAUACAGAAUCCGGCUUAUUCUCAACUCAAGCU